ACAGCCCCGGCAGGUUUAUGGGUUAAGUCCAGUAAAUACAUGAGAAUGACCAAAUAUGAACAAACCAUAGUGUUUAGUGAAGCAUCAAAUCAGUCAUUUGGUGGAAAAAAAAAGUGAAAAUAAAUAUCUGAAGCCAGUCGGCGAUAUGUUCGACGGCAAGCCUUUACAAUCACCAAACCUCUUCCGUCGAAUUUUCACUCUGCGUUUUUCUCCCGUCGCCGUCGAACAUGUGAGAUGUCUCUCCACUUCCAUCACCGAAGAUGCAUUCGAGCAAUCUUCUUCUCGAGGAACCGAUCAUGAUGGCUUCAAUCCUCAAGCCUUUCAAAUCGAUCGUCGGAACUCUCGGUCCCAAAUACCGAUCCGUCGAGGCUCUAUCCGGCUGUCUCAAAACCGGCAUGUCUGUGGCUCCAGUCGAUUUCAGUUGGGGAGAUGCUGAUUAUAUCACCAGGAGACAAUGGAUAAUCUCAAGGUUUUUGUAAGGAGCUCUAAGAAGCUUUGUGUGAGAGUAAAGUCUAUGAAACAACUAAUCAAAGUAGCAUUAAAACUUCAUAAUUUGUCUCUGCCACAAAGCUCUUAACUCAUUCUAUUCACUGGUGGAGAAAAAGAAGAGAGCCAACAAAGCUAUUGGAGGUACCGUACCGAUAUGCGGGAUCAAGUUAGAGUUUAUACAGAAAAUAAAGUUAAGGUUUACAUACCUUCUCGGAGGCUAUUGUCAAAACUUUUUGGCAAUAAGCGAGUCAGUUGAUAUUCUGGAAAACCUCCUUGAAAACAACAUUUGGUGGGCAAAUGCUUUGUGUGUUCGAUGGUGUGAUGAAAGGUGAAGC
RNA transcript from Arabidopsis lyrata subsp. lyrata, 824 nucleotides. It is a transcript of the gene named pyruvate kinase 2, cytosolic, with no coding region annotated. The transcript is spliced from 6 exons. The record is from RefSeq and is a predicted model, not a curated record. Lineage: Eukaryota; Viridiplantae; Streptophyta; Magnoliopsida; Brassicales; Brassicaceae.